This is a long non-coding RNA of Rosa chinensis, 446 nucleotides long. RefSeq lists it as uncharacterized. The transcript has 3 exons. NCBI's taxonomy places the organism in Eukaryota, Viridiplantae, Streptophyta, Magnoliopsida, Rosales, Rosaceae. The record is from RefSeq and is a predicted model, not a curated record.
GUCCAUCCAGGGACCUAUUGAAGGGUGUACUGAUCAGAUCUUUUGUUGAUCGUUUCUUUAUGUUCGACAUUCCUCAGCCCAUUCUCUAGAGUCUCACCAGGGACAUAUUGAAUGGUGUACUGAUCAAAUAUUUUGUUGAUCUUUUCUUUAUGUUCGACAUUCUUCAGCCCAUUCUCCAGAGUCUCACCAGGGACCUAUUGAAGGGUGUACUGAUCAGAUUGGGAAGAGAACAAACCUGUUGGCUCCCUGCUUCCCAAUGGCAUGGAAGUCAGGGAGGUGCAGGGAGGCAAUUGGUUAUGCUGCUCAUGAGGAUAAAGACUAUCAAAACAAGUUUAGGGAGGCUGUGGAAGCUCUUUUCGGGUUAUGUGGAAUGCAUGAAGAUAGAGACGAUUUCUACCACUUGCUCCAAACACCUCUAUCCAGGUAACAACUCCUUCACUCUGAUA